Molecule: ribosomal RNA, 428 nt
Filed under: uncultured archaeon
Lineage: Archaea
Description: bacterial SSU rRNA
Rfam family: Archaeal small subunit ribosomal RNA
Source: RNAcentral
CACCAGCCCCUCGAGUGGUGGGGAUGAUUAUUUGGCCUAAAGCGUCCGUAGCCGGCCGGGUAAGUUUCCCGUUAAGUCCAGCGUCUCAAGCGUUGGACUGCGGGAAAUACUGCCUGGCUAGAGAGUGGGAGAGGUCAGCGGUAUUCUGGGGGUAGGGGCGAAAUCCUUUGAUCCCCGGAGGACCACCAGUGGCGAAGGCUGCUGACUAGAACACGUCUGACGGUCAGGGACGAAAGCUGGGGUAGCGAACCGGAUUAGAUACCCGGGUAGUCCCAGCCGUAAACGAUGCAUGCUAGGUGUUGGGUUGGCCACGAGCCACCCCAGUGCCGCAGGGAAGCCGUUAAGCAUGCCGCCUGGGAAGUACGAUCGCAAGAUUGAAACUUAAAGGGAUUGGCGGGGAGCACCACCAGGCGUGAAGCCUGCGGUUU